CGCGCGCACCCCUUCCGCGCAGCCCCCUGACCUGCAGCCUCCGGACCUCGCUGCAGCGCGGACCCCGCCCGCCCGCCCGAAUGAGUCAGCUGAGGCUGCUGCUGUCCCGUCUUGGGGUACAGGCUGCGAGGCUCCUGGCUGCACAUGACAUCCCGGUGUUUGGCUGGCGCAGCAGGUCCUCCGGGCCACCGGCCACCUUCCCAAGCAGCAAAGGUGGAGGCGGCUCCAGUUACAUGGAGGAGAUGUACUUCGCCUGGUUGGAAAACCCCCAGAGUGUCCACAAGUCCUGGGACAGCUUCUUCAGGGAAGCCAGCGAGGAAGCCUUUUCUGGCUCUGCUCAGCCACGGCCCCCUUCUGUUGUCCAUGAGAGCAGGUCUGCAGUCUCAAGUCGGACCAAGACCAGCAAAUUGGUGGAGGACCACCUGGCUGUGCAGUCCCUGAUCCGGGCCUACCAGAUCCGGGGUCACCAUGUGGCCCAGCUGGACCCCCUGGGCAUUCUGGAUGCAGACCUGGACUCCUUUGUGCCCUCAGACUUGAUCACAACCAUUGAUAAACUGGCCUUCUAUGACCUGCAGGAGGCUGACCUUGAUAAGGAGUUCCAGCUGCCGACAACCACCUUCAUUGGGGGCUCUGAAAACACCCUCUCUCUGCGGGAGAUCAUUCGGCGCCUGGAGAACACCUACUGCCAGCACAUUGGCCUGGAGUUCAUGUUCAUCAACGAUGUGGAGCAGUGCCAGUGGAUCCGGCAGAAGUUUGAGACCCCUGGUGUGAUGCAGUUCUCUAGCGAGGAGAAGCGGACCCUGCUGGCCCGGCUAGUGCGCUCCAUGAGGUUUGAAGACUUCCUGGCCCGGAAAUGGUCCUCAGAGAAGCGGUUUGGCCUGGAGGGCUGUGAAGUGAUGAUUCCUGCCCUCAAGACCAUCAUCGACAAAUCCAGCGAGAUGGGGAUUGAGAAUGUCAUCUUGGGGAUGCCACACAGGGGAAGGCUGAACGUGCUGGCCAACGUGAUCCGCAAGGACCUGGAGCAGAUCUUCUGCCAGUUUGACCCCAAGCUGGAGGCGGCGGACGAGGGCUCCGGGGAUGUCAAGUACCACCUGGGCAUGUACCAUGAGAGGAUCAACCGCGUCACCAACCAGAACAUCACUCUGUCGCUGGUUGCCAACCCCUCCCACCUGGAGGCAGUGGACCCUGUGGUGCAGGGGAAGACAAAGGCAGAGCAGUUCUACCGUGGAGAUGCCCAGGGCAAGAAGGUCAUGUCCAUCCUGGUUCAUGGGGACGCCGCCUUUGCUGGCCAGGGCGUGGUAUAUGAGACCUUCCACCUGAGCGACCUGCCCUCCUACACGACCAAUGGUACCGUGCACGUCGUUGUCAACAACCAGAUUGGAUUCACCACAGACCCCCGAAUGGCCCGCUCCUCACCAUACCCGACCGACGUGGCCCGGGUGGUCAAUGCGCCUAUCUUCCAUGUGAAUGCCGAUGACCCAGAGGCUGUGAUAUAUGUGUGCAGUGUGGCAGCCGAAUGGAGAAACACUUUCAACAAAGACGUUGUCGUGGACCUGGUCUGUUACCGCCGGCGCGGCCACAAUGAGAUGGACGAGCCCAUGUUCACCCAGCCGCUCAUGUACAAGCAGAUCCACAGACAGGUGCCUGUGCUGAAGAAGUACGCAGACAAGCUGAUUGCCGAGGGCACAGUCACCCUGCAGGAGUUUGAGGAAGAAAUUGCCAAAUAUGACCGGAUCUGUGAGGAGGCUUAUGGCAGGUCCAAGGAUAAAAAGAUCCUGCAUAUAAAGCACUGGUUGGACUCCCCCUGGCCUGGCUUCUUCAACGUAGAUGGGGAGCCCAAGAGCAUGACAUGCCCAGCCACGGGGAUCCCUGAGGACAUGCUCACCCACAUCGGCAGCGUGGCCAGCUCUGUGCCCCUGGAGGACUUUAAGAUCCACACUGGCCUCUCUCGCAUUCUGCGGGGCCGUGCGGACAUGACCAAGAACCGGACGGUGGACUGGGCGUUGGCAGAGUACAUGGCCUUUGGCUCCCUGCUGAAGGAAGGCAUCCACGUGCGGCUCAGCGGGCAGGAUGUGGAGAGGGGCACAUUCAGUCACCGGCACCAUGUUCUCCAUGACCAGGAGGUUGACCGCAGGACGUGUGUGCCUAUGAAUCAUCUCUGGCCUGACCAGGCCCCGUACACCGUGUGCAACAGCUCCCUCUCGGAGUACGGAGUCCUGGGCUUUGAGCUGGGCUAUGCCAUGGCCAGCCCCAAUGCCCUGGUCCUCUGGGAGGCCCAGUUUGGGGACUUCCACAACACGGCCCAGUGCAUCAUCGACCAGUUCAUCAGCACCGGCCAGGCCAAGUGGGUGCGGCAUAACGGCAUUGUGCUGCUGCUGCCCCAUGGCAUGGAAGGCAUGGGCCCAGAGCACUCAUCAGCGAGGCCCGAGAGGUUCCUGCAGAUGAGUAAUGACGACUCGGAUGCCUACCCUGCAUUCACCAAGGACUUCGAGGUGAGCCAGCUCUAUGACUGCAACUGGAUCGUGGUCAACUGCUCCACACCGGCCAACUACUUCCACGUGCUGCGCCGGCAGAUCCUGCUGCCCUUCCGCAAGCCGCUGAUUAUCUUCACACCUAAAUCUCUGCUGAGGCACCCAGAGGCCAAGUCCAGCUUUGACCAAAUGGUAUCCGGUGGGCAGCUGUUAGAGCUCUGAUGUCGGGACUGGACUACCUGGGCUACCUGCCCUGUGCUGGCUUCUCUCUUGAGGGCCUGGGAUCCAUUUGUCCUCUCUACCCCAGAGUCUUCACCUGAGAUGCAGGGAUGUGAGGACACUACAGUAGCCUCCUGAGAGGUUUUGCAGUGGACCAGCUUCCAGCGGGUGAUUCCUGAAGAUGGGACCGCAGCACGGGCCCCUGAGCAGGUGCGGCGGCUCAUCUUCUGCACAGGAAAGGUGUACUAUGACCUGGUGAAGGAGCGGAGCAGCCAGGGCCUGGAGGAGAAAGUGGCCAUCACGCGCCUGGAGCAGAUCUCUCCAUUCCCCUUCGACCUGAUCAAGCAGGAGGCAGAGAAGUACCCAGGUGCGGAGCUGGUCUGGUGUCAGGAGGAGCACAAGAACAUGGGCUACUAUGACUACAUCAGCCCACGCUUCAUGACCAUCCUGAGGCGCGCACGGCCCAUAUGGUAUGUUGGCCGGGACCCAGCGGCUGCACCAGCCACAGGAAACAGGAACACUCACCUGGUGUCACUGAAAAAGUUUCUGGAUACUGCCUUCAAUCUCCAGGCCUUUGAGGGCAAGACAUUUUAGAGCUGGGCAAGACCUGUGUAGGUCUCGCUGUGGGUUGGCUGGGGACCAAGGGGGUGAUGAAAAGGGGAGGGGCGGAGCUCCUGCCCAGGAGAGGGGCUGUAGGGCCCCAGGAUAAAACAGACUCACACAGUGACAGGGCCAAGAGCCAGCACUGCUGGCCUUGGUGUCAUGCCAGAAUCUACCAGGACUGAGGGAGCCAGAGGAGUCCUAUAGGCAGGCUACUGUGCUGGAGCAUCCCCCAGCUGCUCCCAUCUUGCUGGAAUUUCUUGGGCGGCUUCUCCACCUCUAUCUCAAGACAGACACCCGGGGGCCUGUGUCUGUGGCCGCUCCCAUCCUGGCAGCCCUGGCCGCUGCUCGCCUCACCCUCGCUUAUCUGUAGAUUCAAAGCGAUGUUCUCUUCUGUGCUCUUAGAAGUAGGGAGUUCAGCAGUAACAGCCAGGUGAAGUGAACCUGCUGGGUGAUGUGUUUGCGCUCUGUUUUAUGGGGCAUUCCUGCGAGAUGUGUCAGCUUCUGUGUGAAAUGCAGCCACAGCUCAUGUGUACCAAAGUAGAAAACCAAAUCACAGAGAAAUAAAAACAUGCUUCAGAGAGA
RNA transcript from Pan troglodytes (chimpanzee), 3875 nucleotides. It is a transcript of the gene named oxoglutarate dehydrogenase L, with no coding region annotated. The transcript is spliced from 24 exons. The record is from RefSeq and is a predicted model, not a curated record. NCBI's taxonomy places the organism in Eukaryota, Metazoa, Chordata, Mammalia, Primates, Hominidae.